GCAAGUCGAGGGGUACAUGGCAGCUUGCUGCCAUGGAGACCGGCGCACGGGUGCGUAACGCGUAUGCAACCUGCCCACCACAGGGGAAUAGCCCAGAGAAAUUUGGAUUAAUGCCCCAUGGCACCGCGAUCCCACAUGGGGAUGCGGUUAAAGCUCCGGCGGUGGUGGAUGGGCAUGCGUCCCAUUAGCUAGUUGGUGCGGUAACGGCGCACCAAGGCGACGAUGGGUAGGGGGUCUGAGAGGGGGGUC
Molecule: ribosomal RNA, 249 nt
Filed under: uncultured bacterium
Lineage: Bacteria
Description: partial 16S ribosomal RNA
Rfam family: Bacterial small subunit ribosomal RNA
Source: RNAcentral